RNAcentral lists this ribosomal RNA (206 nucleotides) under Ctenophora environmental sample. RNAcentral describes it as "partial Bacterial small subunit ribosomal RNA". It matches the Rfam family "Bacterial small subunit ribosomal RNA", at positions 533 to 738 of the family's 1533-position model. Lineage: Eukaryota; Metazoa; Ctenophora. The record is from RNAcentral.
UGCGAGCGUUAAUCGGAAUUACUGGGCGUAAAGCGUGCGCAGGCGGUUCGCUAAGACCGAUGUGAAAUCCCCGGGCUUAACCUGGGAACUGCAUUGGUGACUGGCGGGCUAGAGUGUGGCAGAGGGGGGUAGAAUUCCACGUGUAGCAGUGAAAUGCGUAGAGAUGUGGAGGAAUACCGAUGGCGAAGGCAGCCCCCUGGGCCAAC